This 305-nucleotide ribosomal RNA is filed under the name uncultured bacterium. Its description in RNAcentral is "bacterial SSU rRNA". It matches the Rfam family "Bacterial small subunit ribosomal RNA", at positions 334 to 656 of the family's 1533-position model. The record is from RNAcentral.
GUCUCCUACGGGGGGCAGCAGUGGGGAAUAUUGCACAAUGGGGGAAACCCUGAUGCAGCAACGCCGCGUGAGUGAAGAAGUAUUUCGGUAUGUAAAGCUCUAUCAGCAGGGAAGAGAAUGACGGUACCUGACUAAGAAGCCCCGGCUAACUACGUGCCAGCAGCCGCGGUAAUACGUAGGGGGCGAGCGUUAUCCGGAUUUACUGGGUGUAAAGGGCGUGUAGGCGGGAGAGCAAGUCAGAUGUGAAAACUACAGGCUUAACCUGUAGCCUGCAUUUGAAACUGUUCUUCUUGAGUGAUGGAGAG